GAUGAACGCUGGCGGCGUGCCUAAUACAUGCAAGUCGAGCGAACAGACGAGGAGCUUGCUCCUCUGAUGUUAGCGGCGGACGGGUGAGUAACACGUGGAUAACCUACCUAUAAGACUGGGAUAACUUCGGGAAACCGGAGCUAAUACCGGAUAACAUGUUGAACCGCAUGGUUCAACAGUGAAAGACGGUCUUGCUGUCACUUAUAGAUGGAUCCGCGCCGCAUUAGCUAGUUGGUAAGGUAACGGCUUACCAAGGCAACGAUGCGUAGCCGACCUGAGAGGGUGAUCGGCCACACUGGAACUGAGACACGGUCCAGACUCCUACGGGAGGCAGCAGUAGGGAAUCUUCCGAAAUGGGCGAAAGCCUGACGGAGCAACGCCGCGUGAGUGAAGAAGGUCUUCGGAUCGUAAAACGCUGUUAUUAGGGAAGAACAAAUGUGUAAGUAACUAUGCACGUCUUGACGGUACCUAAUCAGAAAGCCACGGCGAACUACGU
RNAcentral lists this ribosomal RNA (496 nucleotides) under uncultured bacterium. RNAcentral's name for it is "partial 16S ribosomal RNA". It matches the Rfam family "Bacterial small subunit ribosomal RNA", at positions 28 to 506 of the family's 1533-position model. The record is from RNAcentral.